RNAcentral lists this ribosomal RNA (475 nucleotides) under uncultured organism. RNAcentral describes it as "partial 16S ribosomal RNA". It matches the Rfam family "Bacterial small subunit ribosomal RNA", at positions 334 to 800 of the family's 1533-position model. The record is from RNAcentral.
CACUCCUACGGGAGGCAGCAGUGGGGAAUUUUGGACAAUGGGCGAAAGCCUGAUCCAGCAAUGCCGCGUGUGUGAAGAAGGCCUUCGGGUUGUAAAGCACUUUUGUCCGGAAAGAAAUCCUUGGCUCUAAUACAGUCGGGGGAUGACGGUACCGGAAGAAUAAGCACCGGCUAACUACGUGCCAGCAGCCGCGGUAAUACGUAGGGUGCGAGCGUUAAUCGGAAUUACUGGGCGUAAAGCGUGCGCAGGCGGUUUGCUAAGACCGAUGUGAAAUCCCCGGGCUCAACCUGGGAACUGCAUUGGUGACUGGCAGGCUAGAGUAUGGCAGAGGGGGGUAGAAUUCCACGUGUAGCAGUGAAAUGCGUAGAGAUGUGGAGGAAUACCGAUGGCGAAGGCAGCCCCCUGGGCCAAUACUGACGCUCAUGCACGAAAGCGUGGGGAGCAAACAGGAUUAGAAACCCGUGUAGUCCCAUGA